GACGAACCGUGCGAACGUUGUUCGGAUUCACUGGGCUUAAAGGGCGCGUAGGCGGACAAGCAAGUCAGGGGUGAAAUCUUUCAGCUUAACUGGAAACGUGCCUCUGAUACUGCUUGUCUCGAGGGAGGCAGGGGCAUGCGGAACUUCCGGUGGAGCGGUGAAAUGCGUAGAUAUCGGAAGGAACGCCGGUGGCGAAAGCGGCGUGCUGGACCUCUUCUGACGCUGAGGCGCGAAAGCUAGGGGAGCGAACGGGAUUAGAUACCCCGGUAGUCCUAGCCCUAAACGAUGAGUACUAGAUUGUGGACUUAACAUGGGUUCCCAAUCGAAGCAAAAGUGUUAAGUACUCCGCCUGGGGAGUAUGGUCGCAAGGCUGAA
RNAcentral lists this ribosomal RNA (375 nucleotides) under uncultured bacterium. RNAcentral's name for it is "bacterial SSU rRNA". It matches the Rfam family "Bacterial small subunit ribosomal RNA", at positions 524 to 898 of the family's 1533-position model. The record is from RNAcentral.